UCAGAUUAGCUAGUUGGUGAGGUAAAUGCUCACCAAGGCGAUGAUCUGUAGCUGGUCUGAGAGGAUGACCAGCCACACUGGAACUGAGACACGGUCCAGACUCCUACGGGAGGCAGCAGUGGGGAAUUUUGGACAAUGGGCGCAAGCCUGAUCCAGCAAUGCCGCGUGCAGGAUGAAGGCCUUCGGGUUGUAAACUGCUUUUGUACGGAACGAAACGGCUCUUUCUAAUAAAGAGGGCUAAUGACGGUACCGUAAGAAUAAGCACCGGCUAACUACGUGCCAGCAGCCGCGGUAAUACGUAGGGUGCGAGCGUUAAUCGGAAUUACUGGGCGUAAAGCGUGCGCAGGCGGUUAUAUAAGACAGAUGUGAAAUCCCCGGGCUCAACCUGGGACCUGCAUUUGUGACUGUAUAGCUAGAGUACGGUAGAGGGGGAUGGAAUUCCGCGUGUAGCAGUGAAAUGCGUAGAUAUGCGGAGGAACACCGAUGGCCGAAGGCAAUCCCCCUGGACCUGUACUGACGCUCAUGCACGAAAAGCGUGGGGAGCAAA
RNAcentral lists this ribosomal RNA (547 nucleotides) under uncultured bacterium. RNAcentral's name for it is "bacterial SSU rRNA". It matches the Rfam family "Bacterial small subunit ribosomal RNA", at positions 236 to 772 of the family's 1533-position model. The record is from RNAcentral.